Molecule: ribosomal RNA, 216 nt
Filed under: Glomeromycotina sp.
Lineage: Eukaryota; Fungi; Glomeromycota
Description: partial small subunit ribosomal RNA
Rfam family: Eukaryotic small subunit ribosomal RNA (bases 40-216)
Source: RNAcentral
GGGUCAGUAGGUUGGUCGUGCCACCGGUACGUACUGGUCUCACUGAUUCCUCCUUCCUGAAGAACCGUAAUGCCAUUAAUUUGGUGUUGCGUGGAAACAGGACUGUUACUUUGAAAAAAUUAGAGUGUUUAAAGCAAGCUAACGCUUGAAUACAUUAGCAUGGAAUAAUCAAAUAGGACGAUCGAUCCUAUUUUGUUGGUUUCUAGGAUUGACGUA